Molecule: ribosomal RNA, 295 nt
Filed under: uncultured bacterium
Lineage: Bacteria
Description: partial 16S ribosomal RNA
Rfam family: Bacterial small subunit ribosomal RNA
Source: RNAcentral
UACUGGGCGUAAGCGUGCGCAGGCGGUUUGGUAAGUCAGAUGUGAAAUCCCCGGGCUCAACCUGGGAACUGCAUUUGAGACUGCCAGGCUGGAGUUUGGCAGAGGGGGGUGGAAUUCCACGUGUAGCAGUGAAAUGCGUAGAGAUGUGGAGGAACACCGAUGGCGAAGGCAGCCCCCUGGGCCAAUACUGACGCUCAUGCACGAAAGCGUGGGGAGCAAACAGGAUUAGAUACCCUGGUAGUCCACGCCCUAAACGAUGUCAACUAGGUGUUGGGAGGGUUAAACCUUUUAGUGC